This is a long non-coding RNA of Rattus norvegicus (Norway rat), 2907 nucleotides long. RefSeq lists it as uncharacterized. The record is from RefSeq and is a predicted model, not a curated record. NCBI's taxonomy places the organism in Eukaryota, Metazoa, Chordata, Mammalia, Rodentia, Muridae.
AUAAAAAAAAACUGAAAAAAAAGAAAUUACUGCACUCAUGGCCUUCCGGUCUUAACAUGUCACUGGCACUAAAAUUCAUUUUUAAUCCAAACUCCUAAGAAACCCACAGGGGUAUUUUAAACAUACAUAAAAGUAUAGUAAGUAUACAACUGUGUAUGUUUUGGUAAUAAAAUACUUCACAGAAAUGAAAAGCUUAUACUUUCAUUAAAUAAGAUAUUCAUAACUCCUACCACUGAUACUAAGAAAGAUAUUAGCAAAACAGUUACAAAACUAUAAACAACUGUUGGCAGUUCAAGAAGAGAGCCUUAGUCUUUGUCUUUCCACACAGCAUUUUGUUUAAUGUUCAACACACAAAGGAUACUUUUGUGAUAUAAGCAGGACACUAUUAAUGAAAAUUGAUUUUUAUCUUUGCUACAAGAUCCUUAAAGGAGUUCAUAAACUUGUUAGAGGGAGAUUGAAUGAAAAUUGACUUUUACCUCUAUGACAAGCUCCUUUAAAUACAAUGAAGCAACUCAUAAACAUUGUGAUACUAAUUUAGCUUUACUGAAAUUAAGCAACACACACACACACACACACACACACACACACACACACACACAUUGACUCCACUCUAAAUACUUGUAGUUUAACUUACAAGAACUCAAAAAAAUAAAAAUUAGGAGCUGGAAAUAUAACUCAGUUGAUAGUACAUUUGCCUGGCAUUCAUUGAAACCCUGGGUCCAAUCCCCAAUUGUGUUGGUGGGGGAGGGGGGGAAUUGGAGAUAAUGCCUAAAGAAAUAAAAAGUUAAUCUAUGUCACCAUCUAGUGGCCUUAGAAUAUAGUUCUGAAAGGAGAAACUUCUCCAAGGUAAGCGUGCUGUUCCUAGCUGGGCUAGCAGAAGAUCCACCUUACAGGGACCAGUAUCAGCACAAGACACCCCAAGACCAAGUUCUCAGCACAAAGAUUUAUUUGCCAUAGAGGGGAAAAGGAAGGGAGUAAGAGACAAAGAAUAGGGAUGAAGGAGUAGGGGAAAUAACAAGGGAGUGGGGGAGGGUUAUUUAUCCCAGGGACCAAGGAUGGUCUCUGAAGAGAAAGGACCCAACCAUGGCACAUAGAAAAAUGGCAGUUUAUAUAGGAAAAAGGGGACACCCUCCCCCAUCCUACCCCUGUGUUAGGACUUGGUGUUUAAUUUUGACUGGGCAUAUUAAUUAGGUGAGCCAAAGGGGGCUUUUGAUUGUUGGACUUUAAUACUUUGAUAACUGGACCUUGGUCGUCAGCCAUAGGAGGAGGAAGUAGACAAAAUAAGGUGGCUUGCUUUAGGAAUGUAAUCUAACGGUUUUUAGCAAGGCAGAGGGAAUGUGUGAGGAGGGCAAGGUCCACCAGAGUCAUGUCUGCCAUGUUCGGCUGGCUAGAGUCCCUUCAUACUGCUUCUGUCUACACGGUUGCACAAGUCUAACCUUUGGACAAAAUCAAGCAAGACAAAAUGCCACCAAGGACAUUGAUCUGUUUGCCAGCAUCAUAAGUCAACUAUCUGGCAACUGGUACCUACUUGCUUUUUGAGGUGUACAAACAUAUUUUCACAAAAGCCAGAGUAAAUGAAAAAUAACAUGGUCAGAAAAGUCUCACACAAAGAAGUGAAAAGUAUAAACGUAUAACCUAUUUUAAUAGUAUUUAGUGUAGAAUGUCUUAAGCACAUCUUAAAUUUUAAUACCUAUAUAAAGUAGCAUGCCUGUUUUUCAAUAACUUACCUUUAUAUUUUGAUGACAUUUGUUCAGUGUAGUUUGUUUUUAGAGCUAUAUGUAUUUGCUAAAGCAUAAAAUCCUUGAGAGUUUAAAGGCUAACAGGAUUUCCAAGUUUAUGACACUAAAACAGUUUUAAUCCCUGAUGACCAGUAAAUAAUGUAGUUUAGUAUACAUUAGUAAAGUGGCCAAGAGGCUAUUUUCAGGGAAAUUAUUUAAGAUACUGCGAUUAUUUAGCUAUUUAAUGUUUGUGACAAGUAGCCCCAAUAAGCAGUGUACUUAAAAAUGGUUUCUAAAUCUUACGUCUUCCAAGUGAAUAUAGUUGGAAAAUCAUGAAACCUAGAAUAUGCUUAACAGAGAAAAUAAACUCACACUAGAAAAAUAUAAAUUGUAACUGAAGUUUUUGGAGGGCCAAAAAUCAGAGAACGUCAGGUCAGCUUUCACAUCACACAAAAUUAAUUUCGGUCUCCACGUGUCAAGCCCUCAGACCCACUUUUCUGGGCUCCAGGAAAAUUAACCCAUCUUUGUUCUCGGUGCCUCCCAGACCCUGUUGGGGAUGGGGUUUGGGGUUGCAAUAGGGAUGCAGAGUACUCUGUGAUAAAGGCAAAGGCUCGCUGAUGGUUGCUACAAGUUCACCCCACCCGGAGAAGCAUCCACGCCUCGCCCUACAUUUUGUAGUGUUAGCGCCAUACAGGAGAUGAGGUGAAGGCCCAGGAUGGGGAACAGAAUCAGGUUCAGUGUCCAGAUCUUCACAACCUUCACAUCACCGACCACACCCCGGCUGUGCCUCAGGCGCCUGCGAGGAGGGGCGGAGCCGCGCCGCCAAUUCCCGCCCAGUCUAGCACGGACCCAACUAAAGCUGAGGAGCACACAAGGAAGCGGAAAGAGCGCGUGUCCCGCUGCUCCGCUGCGGUCUAUCUGGGCAGCACCAUGCUCGCGCUCCGAAGCGGCCUGAGGACGGCGCUGGCCCCGCGGGCUCUGACGCCUCAGGUAUGUUCACCUUUUGCUACAGGCCCCAGGCAAAGCGAUGGGACAUUGUAUGAAUUCCGCACCUACUCUCUGAAGCCCUCAAAGACAAAUGCGUUCCUGCAGAAUUUUCAGAAAUACGUUCACCUUCGGACAGCUCACUCUGAGAUGAUUGGAUACUGGACCGUAGAAUUUGGAGGCAAAAUAAACAGAGUGUUCCAUA